AGCUCCUCUUGCUGCCUUCUGUGCUCAAUCCUGGCUGUGUUGAAGUUCAUCUUUCUCAGGCUCUCUUGAAUUGCACCUUUGGUGACUGAUUUCUGAAAGAAAAAGUCCUGAAUAUCAGUAAAGGUUUAUUCCUAAUGUAAACCGAAGUCCUGUAUAAUCAGUAAGGCUUAGUUUUCCAACGUCAUUCCUGAGCUCUGAGAGCAACAGUUAUUAUUGUCUCAGCAUCAUUUUCUAGCUGUGAGCAUGAUGAGUCUGACACUAGCACAUUUCAGGAGCUCUACAGCAUGGUCUAUAACUAGCUGGGUGAAGGAAAAUCCAGGCACUUCAAGAAAUGGUAUUCACAAUUCAGUAGGCAGCACCGUUCCAGCUUAGUCACUACUGAUCCAAUACAUGGAUCUGCCCUAUGUUGUUGUGACAGCAACUUUUGGAUUAGAACAGAGGUUCUGACCACUUGUGGUUAUUAAAAAUCCCACAUCAGAUUUUACAAGAGUUUGGGGUAUUAACCUACGUGUGCUGAGAAAUUCCAGCAGGGAUAACUACAUUCUGCCUACCUAUUUCAAUGGAAAUUUCUCCCUGUAGUUUUGAACAGCUCUUAUAUUCGUGACUUCCUGGAGUGUAAUGUUGCUAUCCAGUAUUGAGCAGUUGUCAUGUUUCACGCAGCUCUGUUUGCAGGUAGCCAGACAAAAUAUGUAGUGGCUACCUUCCUAGAGAAGAAACUUCCUCUGCCUUAGCUCUGGUUUUGUGAAAUUUUGUUUAUGUGGACUGGAAUUACCAAAAAUUCAUUUAAUCUAAAA
Gopherus evgoodei (Goodes thornscrub tortoise) is the source of this 794-nucleotide long non-coding RNA. RefSeq lists it as uncharacterized. Lineage: Eukaryota; Metazoa; Chordata; Testudines; Testudinidae. The record is from RefSeq and is a predicted model, not a curated record. The transcript has 2 exons.